This 80-nucleotide transfer RNA is filed under the name Leucoagaricus sp. SymC.cos. It matches the Rfam family "tRNA". Rfam says of the family: Transfer RNA (tRNA) molecules are approximately 80 nucleotides in length. Their secondary structure includes four short double-helical elements and three loops (D, anti-codon, and T loops). Lineage: Eukaryota; Fungi; Basidiomycota; Agaricomycetes; Agaricales; Agaricaceae. The record is from Rfam by way of RNAcentral.
GGGCACUUAGUUUAGGGGUAUAACGUUCGCUUCGCAUUUGUGUUUGCGAAAGGUCGUGGGUUCAAUUCCCACAGUGUCCA